CUGGCGCUACAGUCACGUGAUUGAUUCACGCGCCACCGGAUGGCUAAUUUACAGUAGCUAAUUGAAUUUUUACCUCACAAACCAGAAAAAAAAGGCGGUUUGGGGGUUUAUGAGGAAAAUAAGAAAACUAAAUGAAGCUACAAAAAGAAGGUAAUUGAGAUCUGUUCCUGGAUAGAGGAACCCAUUUUAAGGUGGGGGUGUGUAAGUGCAGGUGCUGACUAAUGGCCCAAACCAUAAAGAGGACCGAGAUGCCUAGAAAACUCGCUUGAGUUCGUUGAUAUGAACACACUGUGGGGCACAGUCACUUGUCUACAGCCGGCACAUCACCCUGAAGCGAUGAAAAGUGAUCGGGCUUCCUGACACAAAUGUUUUCACACCCUGUCUCGUAAUUGGAGUUAUUCCUAAGGAAAGAAUUCCAGGUUUGGGAGGUGUUAUGAACUGGCUCAAUUGGCAAAAGAAAAAGCCUGUUAACCGUGAUUGCAGUCAAAGCUCAAACCUUGUAGCCACCCUCACGAUUGUUUCAUCAACACUCUGAUAAACAGAAGUAUGCUUUAAAA
Long non-coding RNA from Silurus meridionalis, 557 nucleotides. RefSeq lists it as uncharacterized. Lineage: Eukaryota; Metazoa; Chordata; Actinopteri; Siluriformes; Siluridae. The record is from RefSeq and is a predicted model, not a curated record. The transcript is spliced from 3 exons.